This 484-nucleotide ribosomal RNA is filed under the name uncultured bacterium. RNAcentral's name for it is "partial 16S ribosomal RNA". It matches the Rfam family "Bacterial small subunit ribosomal RNA", at positions 30 to 507 of the family's 1533-position model. The record is from RNAcentral.
AUUGAACGCUGGCGGCAGGCCUAACACAUGCAAGUCGAGCGGAUGAAGGGAGCUUGCUCCUGGAUUCAGCGGCGGACGGGUGAGUAAUGCCUAGGAAUCUGCCUGGUAGUGGGGGAUAACGUCCGGAAACGGGCGCUAAUACCGCAUACGUCCUGAGGGAGAAAGUGGGGGAUCUUCGGACCUCACGCUAUCAGAUGAGCCUAGGUCGGAUUAGCUAGUUGGUGGGGUAAAGGCCUACCAAGGCGACGAUCCGUAACUGGCCUGAGAGGAUGAUCAGUCACACUGGAACUGAGACACGGUCCAGACUCCUACGGGAGGCAGCAGUGGGGAAUAUUGGACAAUGGGCGAAAGCCUGAUCCAGCCAUGCCGCGUGUGUGAAGAAGGUCUUCGGAUUGUAAAGCACUUUAAGUUGGGAGGAAGGGCAGUAAGUUAAUACCUUGCUGUUUUAACGUUACCAACAGAAUAAGCACCGGCUAACUUCGUG